GUUGUAGCUCAGUGGUAGAGCACUUGCCUAGCAUGUGUGAGGCACUGGGUUCAAUUCUCAGCACCACA
RNAcentral lists this transfer RNA (68 nucleotides) under Marmota monax (woodchuck). RNAcentral describes it as "tRNA.Ala". The stretch from base 3 to 63 matches the Rfam family "tRNA", at positions 6 to 65 of the family's 71-position model. From Rfam's summary of the family: Transfer RNA (tRNA) molecules are approximately 80 nucleotides in length. The record is from RNAcentral. Lineage: Eukaryota; Metazoa; Chordata; Mammalia; Rodentia; Sciuridae.